Molecule: unclassified non-coding RNA, 4091 nt
Filed under: Diabrotica virgifera virgifera (western corn rootworm)
Lineage: Eukaryota; Metazoa; Arthropoda; Insecta; Coleoptera; Chrysomelidae
Description: protein HEXIM1
Source: RNAcentral
UCGGUGGGGUUCCGAACCCCUUCCAAUUCCUAAAGAGGGGUUCGAUUGCAGCGCCCCUGUAGGAAAACAAUAAACACUACUGCAUUGAAUUGAAAAUGGCGAUUUUGUCCAGGUUGUGUGCAUUUCGUUUUCGAUUAUUACCGAGAGUGUUUCCCGACAACACACCGUAGUGUCUACGUAAAGUGAAAAUUUGUGAAAAAUCGUGCAACAUAUGCAAAAAUGAGCGAGCUACAUCCAAAUUUGGUGGAAAAUGAUUUAGAAGCAAAAAGUGGUAAGCUUUUUCAAGAUGACGUCGAUCCUCCGAAUGAACAGAGCACUGCGUGCGCAUCCGAUUCGACGACGAAAACAAUCGAAGGUGAACUUCCGGCGAAAAAACGGAAAACGCGACGCGGGAAAACCAAACGAAGACAUCCAUAUUUAAAAAAUCCAAGAAAAUCUAACAAAUUAGUUAAACCCGAGGCUCCGCAUAACAGCAAUCAGUUUUUACUCGAAGAUCAUGCUAUAGUGGACGAUUUGGUUAAAAAUUUGAUGUCUCCAAAUACGUUAAGAACAAGGGAUUCUAGUUUUAGUGUUGAUUCAGAGGGAGAUUUUUAUUCCUCACCAGAUGAUGAACAGCAGUUUUUAAUUAAAGAUUUUGAUGACCAGUACGAAAGUUUACAAGCCGAAAGACUUCAAGGCAUGUCAAAAUCUGACCUAAUAGCCGAGUAUCUUGCACUUGAAAACAAGCUGGAACAAUUAACAAAAAGUCAGCAGAAAGAAGAAGACGAUUCAGAAGAUUCCAAACCUGAUCUUAAGCAAGAAAUAGAAAGACUCACCAUGGAGAACGAACGUUUAAGGCGGGAGAAUGAUCUCCUACGAAAUAAAGUGAACAUAGAGUCUGAUUCGGAGGACUCAGAAACUGAUUCUAGUGAUUCUUGUAGCAGUUCUUCGACAUCCAGCAGCAACAGCUCCAGGAGUUCCAGCAGGUCUCGAAGCCCCAUCACCAAUAUUGACUAUAAGAAAACAAACGGCUUUACAAAGGAAGAGCCAGUGCCGUAGGUUACAAAACAAUUCCCAGUGUUAAUUUUGCUCAUAUUAAGACUUUAUCUCUACGUUCAGCUCUUCCACAUAUGUUUUUAUUAAAUGUUUUAUCUAAAAUAUUAAUAUAAAUGAUUGUUUUCUAAAAAAAAUGAAUGUCCAUAAUUUCAAAAAUCAAUUUUUAUUAUUCACUGCCAAAUUUUAAAACUAAAAUCGUUAUACCUUGAAAAUGGGCCUAGUAAAUAAUGUGAAAAUCAGGAUAUGAAAAGUAAAACAUACAUUUACAUCACAAGUUCAACAUAGUUUUCACCCCUCUCUACGAUUGUGACUUGGUCCAUUACCUGAUUAAAAGAAACCUAUUGAAAUUUUUUAAUUACCACAGUUAUGAAGGCGAAGAUCUGAACAUAUAAGAUUUAACACAGCGUUAUAUGCCAUGCUUUCAAUGAAACGCAUAGGUACAUAUUUUAUAUUUCGGCAACAAUGCUACUUUAUUUCGUUAGUAGAGGCUGGGACAAGGUCAUACUGAGUUCACCCAUUGAGACGAAACGGUUUUCAUUAGACUCAAUUUUGCAGUUCAGUUCAGAACAAUAAAAAUGGUAUUAUCUGUAAUAUUAAAAAAAAUCAUUUAUCAUCAAAAAAUAUUCUGGUUGCUUUGCGUUUUAUUUUGAAAGUUAAUCUGGUGCUAAUUAUACAAAAUCAUUCAAACCUAAAAAGUAGUGUACCUAAAGAUUUUUUAGAACGAAAGGUGCAAUUUAUGACACUGUUGAAAUGAAUGAACCACAUUCCAGUAGUCAAAUAGUUGGGAAAGCGUUACUUGAAGUCCCCUCUCCUUGAUUUGCUACCUGAAUGACCUUAGUGGAUUCAGAUAUUUCUACACAAUAGGGAACUUGCACAUUUUUUUUAGUACAUAAUAAUGUUCAGUUUUGUUUAAAAAUGAGAUUUCCAAAAUUUCACGCUUUAAAAACUCAUAAUAACUUAGAAAUACAAAUUUAAAGUCUUCUGCGAUAUUGAAAUGGUUCAAACGACCCGUGACGUCACAUAGUUUAACUAUAUGGUUAUAUUUAGGUAUAUUCUUCUUCCCCUUCUUUAGUUUAUUGGCCUCCACCUACUUGGGUAUUUGGCCAGCUCAUUGUUGUGGAAUAAGGGAAAAAUAUUUAUAUUAUUUAUAAUCGUAUGUCAUUGCAUGUCAUUUAUCGUAUGUCAUUGUAAUAAUAUAUACCAGUUUGUUGAGAUCGAAGUUUGAUACAGUUUGUGAAGGAAAGGAAAGAAGGUUUACUAUGGAAAAUAAAACCAUUUUGUAAAAUUACAAGUUUUCUAUGAAUAGUUCAAACGAUCAAAACACUUGUGACGUCACAUAACUAACUCUAUUUUCUACUGACGUUUAUAAUGUCUAGUUUAAAAUUAUAUACAAUUUUGUUUACUUUGUUGGUGCAAAAUGUAAACAUAUAAUCAUAUGACGUCACGACGCGUUUUUUGCUAGCUGCUUUAAUUUUAAUUCAGAAUCGUCUUUAGGGGCCAAACGGAACACAAAAACAACUUUUUUAUCUUUGAUACAUGUUUUAAAUUAUGUUUUAUUGUGAUUUAUAACACUUUUUUCGAAUUUAAAAUUUUAUGCAAGUUCCCUAUUCGCGAUGAAAAACGAAGUAUCUGACCUCUGGUGGAAUAAAUUUAAACUACUAUAAGUGGUAUAAACAAACCAAAAAAUUGUUGAUUUGAAUGUAAUUUGGUCACUAUUUAGAAAUUUUUAGUAAUUUUCAGCAUUCUGACUACAUUAAAAUAUUUUAAAUCAAAUCGGUAUUGUUGUAUUCCUCGAUGAACGUUUGUUUAUACCAUUUAUAUCGGCCAUUUUCCUGCAUUCGACCUGCUCUCUACAUUCCGUUUCAAUCGCGAAUUGUACCUCAACUAAAUGACUUGGUGACCACCUUCUUCUGCCGAAUUAAGCCCAAUUGCUUUUUUCACGUCAAGUACAAAAUGUAUGGUGAUCUUCAAGAAAGAGCCCAAAAUUUAGAAGAACUUAGAGUAAAAAUUACUGAAGUUUUGAGAUCGAUACCGCCAGUUUUAGAAAUUCUCUUUACUUAUAUCGUAUUGAAAGAUCUUAUUUUAGCUGUAACAGCGAUCAAAAAUUGAUAAAGAAUGAAAUAUUUAGUAAAUUGAAUCAAUCUAAUAGCGUGAUACAUUAUCCUACUAGCGAUAAAUUAACAAUAAAGUUUUUCCUUGAUUUUUGAUAUUCAUAACAUGACAGCAGUGACCCUAUUUAUCAAAAUAACAAGUAGGAGUGGCUAUACUAUGCAGCGUUGCCAAAUGUUUAUCUUAUGUGUUCAUUUCUUGGACUUCCAACUUCGUACAUCAGGCCCAGGACUUACUGAGUGCUAUUUGACACACACAAUUAUUGUCGUGUGUUGGGAGUUAUUCUUCCACAUUGACAAUUUCUCGUGAAUGAGCAUAUUUUUUAUGUAGCUGUGUAUAAGUCAAAUAUGAUGUACUUUUUAAAUUCAGAAAAAGACUGUUAUUUUUAUUUGUACUUAAUUUUUAACUCGAAAAACUUAUCCAUUACUAUGUAUAUUAGAAGAUGCCACACUGGCGUGAUAUCAGUCACAUGCCACACUGAUGUGACAUCAGGCAGAUGCCACAUUGGUGUGACAUCAGGCAGAUGCCACAUUGGUGUGACAUCUUGUGGUUUUUCUCCUUCAGGCACAAUACUUUUGCUAUUUCUACACCAGCCUUCAUUUUAAACUAAAAAUAUUUCACGUUAGUUAUUUUUUUCCUAUUUUCUAUGCAUUUUGUUACAAUAUAUUGCAGAUAAAGUACAAAAUAAUUUAAAAUGAACUGUUUUGGAAGUAUCAAAGGCAAUAUGGUUUGUUUAAUGUUAUAAAUCACUGCUAAGUGACGUAAUAGAAUAGUUAUCUUUAGCUGUUAGUGAAUGUUUUAAAUUUUUGGUAUAAUUGAUAUUUAGAUGAGAUUUCCAAAAAUGAAAUAUUGUUACGUUUUUUAUAAUUUUUAAUUUUUGUACAUAUUGAAUAUAAAAAUACUUGAUUUCUCUAUAUUAAUUAAUAAAGUUUUAGUAUAAUGAAUAA